UCCGAGAUGGUGUAACGGUAGCACAUGUGACUCUGGAUCACAUUGUUUAGGUUCGAAUCCUAAUCUCGGAGCCA
Molecule: transfer RNA, 74 nt
Filed under: Tissierellia bacterium
Lineage: Bacteria; Bacillati; Bacillota; Tissierellia
Description: tRNA-Gln
Rfam family: tRNA
About the family: Transfer RNA (tRNA) molecules are approximately 80 nucleotides in length. Their secondary structure includes four short double-helical elements and three loops (D, anti-codon, and T loops).
Source: RNAcentral